CCUACGGGCGGCAGCAGUGGGGAAUAUUGCACAAUGGGGGGAACCCUGAUGCAGCGACGCCGCGUGAGUGAAGAAGUAUUUCGGUAUGUAAAGCUCUAUCAGCAGGGAAGAAAAUGACGGUACCUGAUUAAGAAGCCCCGGCUAACUACGUGCCAGCAGCCGCGGUAAUACGUAGGGGGCAAGCGUUAUCCGGAUUUACUGGGUGUAAAGGGAGCGUAGACGGCAGCGCAAGUCUGAAGGGAAAUGCCGGGGCUUAACCCCGGAACUGCUUUGGAAACUGUGCAGCUAGAGUGCAGGAGAGGUAAGUGGAAUUCCUAGUGUAGCGGUGAAAUGCGUAGAUAUUAGGAGGAACACCAGUGGCGAAGGCGGCUUACUGGACUGUAACUGACGUUGAGGCUCGAAAGCGUGGGGAGCGAACAGGAUUAGAUACCCCUGUAGUC
RNAcentral lists this ribosomal RNA (440 nucleotides) under uncultured bacterium. RNAcentral describes it as "partial 16S ribosomal RNA". It matches the Rfam family "Bacterial small subunit ribosomal RNA", at positions 338 to 795 of the family's 1533-position model. The record is from RNAcentral.